Molecule: ribosomal RNA, 207 nt
Filed under: uncultured bacterium
Lineage: Bacteria
Description: partial 16S ribosomal RNA
Rfam family: Bacterial small subunit ribosomal RNA
Source: RNAcentral
UGCGUAGGCGGCCGCUUAAGUAGGGUGUGAAAUGUCCCGGCUCAACCGGGGAAUGGCGCUCUAAACUGGGUGGCUCGAGUGAGAUAGAGGUGUGCGGAACUUCCGGUGGAGCGGUGAAAUGUGUUGAUAUCGGAGGGAACACCAUUGGCGAAAGCGGCACACUGGGUCUUAACUGACGCUGAGGCACGAAAGCCAGGGGAGCAAACG